AUUUUAGUUUGCUUGCAACUGAAGAUGGCGACCGGCGCACGGGUGAGUAACACGUAUCCCAUUUGCCGAUAACUCUGGAAUAGCCUUUCGAAAGAAAGAUCAAUACCGGAUGGCAUACGAAUAUCGCAUGAUAUUUUUAUUAAAGAAUUUCGGUUAUCGAUGGGGAUGCGUUCCAUUAGUUUGUUGGCGGGGUAACAGCCCACCAAGACAACGAUGGAUAGGGGUUCUGAGAGGAAGGUCCCCCACAUUGGAACUGAGACACGGUCCAAACUCCUACGGGAGGCAGCAGUGAGGAAUAUUGGUCAAUGGGCGAGAGCCUGAACCAGCCAAGUAGCGUGAAGGAUGAAGGCUCUAUGGGUCGUAAACUUCUUUUAUAUGGGAAUAAAGUUUUCCACGUGUGGAAUUUUGUAUGUACCAUAUGAAUAAGGAUCGGCUAACUCCGUGCCAGCAGCCGCGGUAAUACGGAGGAUCCGAGCGUUAUCCGGAUUUAUUGGGUUUAAAGGGAGCGUAGGUGGAUUGUUAAGUCAGUUGUGAAAGUUUGCGGCUCAACCGUAAAAUUGCAGUUGAAACUGGCAGUCUUGAGUACAGUAGAGGUGGGCGGAAUUCGUGGUGUAGCGGUGAAAUGCUUAGAUAUCACGAAGAACUCCGAUUG
This 652-nucleotide ribosomal RNA is filed under the name uncultured Bacteroides sp. RNAcentral describes it as "bacterial SSU rRNA". It matches the Rfam family "Bacterial small subunit ribosomal RNA", at positions 70 to 715 of the family's 1533-position model. Lineage: Bacteria; Pseudomonadati; Bacteroidota; Bacteroidia; Bacteroidales; Bacteroidaceae. The record is from RNAcentral.